GUGAGUCAGCUCCCAAAGCGCCCAACUAUUCUGGGACAUAGGGAGUAUUGUGUUUUGCUUGCAUACUUUGUUGUUACAACACUUCUGUACCAUACCAAUUCGGUCUCCUUAAAUUGUUCUUGAGUUUAUUUCUAGGGUUUAAUUGCAGCUUUCAAAAAACCCUAGAAUCUGUUCUGUUGAUCAACAAUGUCGGACUACUUACCCAAGGGAGUGAUGAUGGAUAUUCUGGCAAGACUACCGGUUAAAACUCUUCUGCAAAUCAGGUUACUUCUUUAACCUCAGUGAGAGAUUUUAGCCAAAGAGGUGGGUGCAGAGUGUGUGGAAUUUACCAGCUUCCAUUUUCUCCUCUCAGGGCCAGUAGCAAUUUCCUUGAUCUUCUUCGGAUCCUUCAAUCUCUGGAAUUUUUUGUCUGGCAUUCCUGGAUGGGGUUCGCUUUAGUUUGCGGCAUGAUAAGCCCUGGUUAUUUGUGCUGGUUCUUUUGUCUUCGGCAGGGAUCUAAUUUUAUUUUGCUUUUGAUACGAUGAUGGAGCAUUGUAUCUUUUUAUGGUGCUCUGUUUCUUUUGGUUCUGUAUAUGCCUUGUGCUCUGGUUGAUUUUUGUUCAUAGCUUCAAGGUUUUAUGUUGUUCUUUUGCUUGGUGGAUUUGGGGUUUUGUAGACAAGGCACAUCCUGGGGUAUGGCCAUUGAAACAUUUACAUUGAGUUGCCUUUGUUUACAGUUCAGGGAUUAUUGCCUAAGAAUCAUUCAUUCUCUAUGGAAAUUGAAAGUUUA
Cornus florida is the source of this 769-nucleotide long non-coding RNA. RefSeq lists it as uncharacterized. NCBI's taxonomy places the organism in Eukaryota, Viridiplantae, Streptophyta, Magnoliopsida, Cornales, Cornaceae. The record is from RefSeq and is a predicted model, not a curated record. The transcript has 2 exons.